This 72-nucleotide transfer RNA is filed under the name Cavia porcellus (domestic guinea pig). It matches the Rfam family "tRNA". From Rfam's summary of the family: Transfer RNA (tRNA) molecules are approximately 80 nucleotides in length. Lineage: Eukaryota; Metazoa; Chordata; Mammalia; Rodentia; Caviidae. The record is from Rfam by way of RNAcentral.
GGAGAUGUGGCUCAGUGGUAGAGCUCUUGCCUGGCAUGCACAAGGCCAUGGGUUUGAUCUCCAACAUCACAU